Non-coding RNA from Schistosoma margrebowiei, 72 nucleotides. NCBI's taxonomy places the organism in Eukaryota, Metazoa, Platyhelminthes, Trematoda, Strigeidida, Schistosomatidae. The record is from Rfam.
GCGACCGUGGUGUAGCGGUUAUCAUGGCUGCCUUCCAAGCAGUCGAUCCGGGUUCGACUCCCGGCGGUCGCA